Molecule: ribosomal RNA, 253 nt
Filed under: uncultured bacterium
Lineage: Bacteria
Description: partial 16S ribosomal RNA
Rfam family: Bacterial small subunit ribosomal RNA
Source: RNAcentral
UACGAAGGGGGCUAGCGUUGUUCGGAAUUACUGGGCGUAAAGCGCGCGCAGGCGGCUAUCCAAGUCCGUGGUGAAAGCCCGGAGCUCAACUCCGGAACUGCUAUUGAAACUGUUUAGCUUGAGUAUGAGAGAGGUGAGUGGAAUUCCCAGUGUAGAGGUGAAAUUCGUAGAUAUUGGGAAGAACACCGGUGGCGAAGGCGGCUCACUGGCUCAUUACUGACGCUCAGGCGCGACAGCGUGGGGAUCAAACAGG